Molecule: long non-coding RNA, 411 nt
Filed under: Ornithorhynchus anatinus (platypus)
Lineage: Eukaryota; Metazoa; Chordata; Mammalia; Monotremata; Ornithorhynchidae
Description: lncRNA (ENSOANG00000042393.1)
Source: RNAcentral
GCUAAAGAUAUAAGAGCCCUUCUGAUUACCUCCUCCCUUCCUAGUUGGGGGAAGAAAUGAGGCUAACUAGGAUAAGCUUCUCUCCUUUUGGCUGGGAGGAGGAGACAAGAUCAUCUUCAUUCUUGAGUAUGAGAAAAGAAGGCUGCUGAUUUGAGGUGAAAUCAACAGCCCCUCCUGUUUCAUUCAUGAACAUACAAGGAUCACCCCAUGCUGCAGCGUCAUAUCUGCUACACAAUGACUGGCACCAUUUUUCAUUUCUCUGCAAUCUUCUCAAAGCCUCUGUUGGCCCCAUUGUGUGAGGACAAGCUAUGGGAAAUCUGCCUGACAGUUACAAGUAUCAGGGAAGGCCUCGUGCUACAUAAUGAAUCACUGUUGUUGAAUGAAAUAGGACAAAACAGCUAUUAUUUCCUG